Molecule: ribosomal RNA, 477 nt
Filed under: uncultured bacterium
Lineage: Bacteria
Description: bacterial SSU rRNA
Rfam family: Bacterial small subunit ribosomal RNA
Source: RNAcentral
GAGUGGACUCCUACGGGAGGCAGCAGUGGGGAAUUUUGGACAAUGGGCGCAAGCCUGAUCCAGCCAUGCCGCGUGUCUGAAGAAGGCCUUCGGGUUGUAAAGGACUUUUGUCAGGGAAGAAAAGGAGUUGGUUAAUACCCGACUCUGAUGACGGUACCUGAAGAAUAAGCACCGGCUAACUACGUGCCAGCAGCCGCGGUAAUACGUAGGGUGCGAGCGUUAAUCGGAAUUACUGGGCGUAAAGCGAGCGCAGACGGUUUGUUAAGCAGGAUGUGAAAUCCCCGGGCUCAACCUGGGAACUGCGUUCUGAACUGGCAGGCUAGAGUGUGUCAGAGGGGGGUAGAAUUCCACGUGUAGCAGUGAAAUGCGUAGAGAUGUGGAGGAAUACCGAUGGCGAAGGCAGCCCCCUGGGAUAACACUGACGUUCAUGCUCGAAAGCGUGGGUAGCAAACAGGAUUAGAUACCCUUGUAGUCCGA